RNAcentral lists this long non-coding RNA (218 nucleotides) under Vigna radiata. Its description in RNAcentral is "long non-coding RNA (VRAD_LNC002511)". Lineage: Eukaryota; Viridiplantae; Streptophyta; Magnoliopsida; Fabales; Fabaceae. The record is from RNAcentral.
CUUCAUCCUCACUAUCUACUUUAACUUCAUUAUCCACUCCACCCUCACUCUCUACUUCAACUUCAACCUCACUCUCUACUUCAACUGCAACCUCACUGUCAACUCCACCCUUAUUGUUUACUUCAACUUGAACCUGACUCUCCACUACAAUUUCUUCCUGCACUCCACCAUCCACCUCCUUUGCACCACUUUCUUCCACCUACACUCCACCAUCCACC